Molecule: unclassified non-coding RNA, 220 nt
Filed under: plant metagenome
Description: partial contains small subunit ribosomal RNA, internal transcribed spacer 1, and 5.8S ribosomal RNA
Source: RNAcentral
UUUCCGUAGGUGAACCUGCGGAAGGAUCAUUACAGAGUUCAUGCCCUCACGGGUAGAUCUCCCACCCUUGAAUAUUUAUACCUUAGUUGCUUUGGCAGGCCGUGGAAACACCAUGGGCUCCGGCUUAUGCGUGCCUGCCAGAGGAAACAAACUCUGUUUUUAAUGAUGUCUGAGUACUAUAUAAUAGUUAAAACUUUCAACAACGGAUCUCUUGGUUCUG